CUCGUAGGCGGCCAACUAAGUCAGACGUGAAAUCCCUCGGCUUAACCGGGGAACUGCGUCUGAUACUGGAUGGCUUGGGGUUGGGGAGAGGGAUGCGGAAUUCCAGGUGUAGCGGUGAAAUGCGUAGAUAUCUGGAGGAACACCGGUGGCGAAGGCGGCAUCCUGGACCAAUUCUGACGCUGAGUGAGCGAAAGCCAGGGGAGCAAACG
This 209-nucleotide ribosomal RNA is filed under the name uncultured bacterium. RNAcentral's name for it is "partial 16S ribosomal RNA". It matches the Rfam family "Bacterial small subunit ribosomal RNA", at positions 568 to 774 of the family's 1533-position model. The record is from RNAcentral.